RNAcentral lists this non-coding RNA (291 nucleotides) under marine eukaryotic metagenome. RNAcentral describes it as "Rickettsia sRNA47". It matches the Rfam family "Rickettsia sRNA47". The record is from RNAcentral.
GAGCCAAGAGGUAUAAUUGAUUGAACAGAACCUUUUCCAUAAGUUUUUGUUCCAAUUACAGUGGCUCUUUUAUUAUCACCCAGUGCUCCUGCAAAUAUUUCUGAAGCUGAGGCUGAACCACCAUUAGUUAUAAUAAUUAUUUCUGCCCCAUUUGUAAUAUCACCUUUUUUUGCAAAAAAUCUUUGUUUUCUUGAUUGAUCCCUAGUUUUCGUGGAUACUAUCUCCCCUUUAUCCAAAAAUAAGUCUGUUACUUUAAUUGCCUGGUCAAGAAGACCGCCAGGGUUGUUACGA